Molecule: ribosomal RNA, 915 nt
Filed under: uncultured archaeon
Lineage: Archaea
Description: SSU rRNA
Rfam family: Archaeal small subunit ribosomal RNA
Source: RNAcentral
UUUCCGGUUGAUCCCGCCGGACCUGACUGCUAUCGGAUUGAUACUAAGCCAUGCUAGUCUUUGUAGUAAUACAAGGCAUACGGCUCAGUAACGCGUAGUCAACCUACCCUAUGGACGGGGAUAAUCUCGGGAAACUGAGCAUAAUACCCGGUAGACCACUUAUCCUGGAAUGGUUAGUGGUUAAAAUGAUUCGUCGCCAUAGGAUGGGACUGCGGCCUAUCAGCUUGUUGGUGAGGUAAUGGCCCACCAAGGCGAUUACAGGUACGGGCUCUGAGAGGAGAGGCCCGGAGAUGGGUACUGAGACAAGGACCCAGGCCCUAUGGGGCGCAGCAGGCGAGAAAACUUUGCAAUGUGCGAAAGCACGACAAGGUUAAUCCGAGUGAUUUCUGCUAAAGGAAUCUUUUGUUAGUUCUAAAAAUACUAGUGAAUAAGGGGUGGGCAAGUUCUGGUGUCAGCCGCCGCGGUAAAACCAGCACCUCAAGUGGUCAGGAGGAUUAUUGGGCCUAAAGCAUCCGUAGCCUGUUCUAUAAGUUUGCGGUUAAAUCUGUACGCUCAACGUAUAGGCUGCUGUAAAUACUGUAGAACUAGGGAGUGGGAGAGGUAGACGGUACUCGGUAGGAAGGGGUAAAAUCCUUUGAUCUAUCGAUGACCACCUGUGGCGAAGGCGGUCUACCAGAACACGUUCGACGGUGAGGGAUGAAAGCUGGGGGAGCAAACCGGAUUAGAUACCCGGGUAGUCCCAGCUGUAAACGAUGCAGACUCGAUGAUGCAAUGGCAUAGAGCUAUUGCAGUAUCGCAGGGAAGCCGUUAAGUCUGCCGCCUGGGAAGUACGUACGCAAGUAUGAAACUUAAAGGAAUUGGCGGGGGAGCACCACAAGGGGUGAAGCCUGCGGUUCAAUUGGAGUCAACGCCGGG